AUCGCUUCUCAGCCUUUUGGCUAAGAUCAAAUGUAGUGUCUGUUCUUAUCAGUUUAAUAUCUGAUACAUUGUUUAUCCGAUGACAAUAUAUUAAAUGGAUUUCUGGCACUAGGAAAUGGAAUAGGAGCUUGUUCCAUCUAUUCUACACAUCGACCUGGUAUUGCAGUACCUCCAGGAAUGGUGCACUCAAA
Small nuclear RNA from Suncus etruscus (white-toothed pygmy shrew), 191 nucleotides. RefSeq annotates it as U2 spliceosomal RNA. The transcript has a single exon. Lineage: Eukaryota; Metazoa; Chordata; Mammalia; Eulipotyphla; Soricidae. The record is from RefSeq and is a predicted model, not a curated record.